RNAcentral lists this long non-coding RNA (693 nucleotides) under Homo sapiens (human). RNAcentral describes it as "HSALNT0122409". The record is from RNAcentral. Lineage: Eukaryota; Metazoa; Chordata; Mammalia; Primates; Hominidae.
GAUUCUUUCUGAUUUGGUCUUGUGGUCUCUUUCUGCAGAGUUCCUAUAAACUGUGCCCCACCUAAUGGGCCUCGGGGAUUUGGUGGUGGAUGUGUACAGCACGCCUUUCACAAGAUUCUUCUUUAUCCUGGCAGGUGGCCUCAUGCCUGAGGGGCAGUGGUCACCAGGAGGUGUUUGUAUAAGGCAGAUGUCUGGAUUGAUCACAUUGAGGAACUGGAAGGAGGUGGAGAGCUGGAAACUGUGUUAAGGGUGAGUAAGCCCUGCCUCUGGUAGGAAAAAGUUAAACCUCUGUUGGGAAUGGUAACAUGGAAUUAUAAGAGUUCACUACAAGCUGCAUCCUAGGCCUUUCUCCUACUCUCACUGCCACAGAAACCCAGUGGUUCCGGGUUAGUGGGUCCGCAUGUUGGUGCAUGUUCGUGUGUGUGCGUGCAUGCGUGUGUUUGUGCAUGCAUGUGCACAUAUGUGUGUCUGAGGUCUUUCUUUUCACCCUUAAACCCCAACAGGCUAGUGACAGGUUGUGGGCCCAGGGCAGCAGGGGCCACUGAUCUUCAGGGGCCUCAUGGCUCAAAUGACAUAGCAGGGCCCAGGCAGGGUUAUGGUUGGAGAGACACCUGGGGACCCAGGGACGGCCCUGUGGCCCAGGCAGGGAUGUGGCAGGAACCUCUAACAGAGCCUGCACCUGACAAGGACCAG